AUGGCCAAUGAGCACACCCUCAUUCAUCCAGCGAGCAUUGAGGACCCCCUAGAGGCCAGGCCCAUGAGUGAUGAAGAUCCCGAGGAUGAAGACGCCUUGCCAGCCAGGUGCCCUUCCUGGCUCCCUGCUUCUUCCUCUCCUAACCUCCUGGCACUGUGCUCCUCACUCAGGAAUUGCACCCAGCAUCACCUCUGCAGGUGGAAGAAAGAAAUGGGAAGAAAAAGGAAGAGAACCAUAGCUACGUUGUGAGGGCAUUGCUUCAACUCUGGUAACUUCAUGUGAAAUGACUACAAAAUGAAUUAAUAUGCAGUAAGAGAGCCAGUGCCCCACCAGGGCACCUUUCCACUUGCUGGCACACAGAUUUACCACAAUUAGGAUACUGCUUGUCCUGUCAUGCCGGGAGAGUCUAAAUUACUCUGACUUUCAAGAAACCAAAAAUAUGCAUUUUUGAUGUUAGGAAGAUUUACUGUGCAUUGGGCUGUGUCAUUUGAUGAGGAAAAAACCAAAUGAUCUCUUUAUGAAAAUGAAGGUAAAAUAUAUGUAAAUGCCAUUUUAAUCUAACUUUUUAUAUGAAUGUAGAACAAAUAUCAAACAGGAUUAUACAGUGUGAUAGUCAGGAAAGUAGCAUGCUUUUGUGUUUUAUAGACUAGUCUAAAAGGAGCCCCAGUAGACUUGGUAUUGUUAAACCAAGGAGAUCUUGAGAACUGUUCUGUCUCCCUUGUGCCCAUAGAAUUGUAGCCUGUGGAGGUGACCAAGGAACCAGAUCCCAAGAGGCCUCUGCCACUGAAAGGAGAUUUUUAUUACUUGCGUUUCCUAGACGGGGGGGCACUCGCGCCAAGCAGGCCCACGGGGCACACUGGUGUCAGUCAAGGGGCAGAAAGGAGCCACAGGAAAGCCCAGGACAGAGCCUGAGUGGGGUUUCUGUGGGAAAGGCAGGGCAGGGCACCCGUGUAGGAAUGGCUAGUGUGAACAGUUCCAGUGGGCCCUGGGCUGUAGGAGAGAUCACUAGCUGCCUGCUACCAGGCCCUGGGGUGAUUUCGGGCAGGCGGGCAGUUAGAUAAGGGAGGUGGGUAGAGCCGACCACCUGCCUGGAACCCUGUGCUGGCUAUAAGCCCUGGGAGGGCCAGUCUCUCCCUGUGUCUGUAAGGCCCACAAAUGCCAAAGCAUUAGGAAUAAGAAAAUGGACGUAAUAGAAUUGAUCCUGUGAGGACUGGAUGCCUAACUGCCACAUACAGAAUGUGAGAAAGCACAGAACAACUGCCUUCAUUGACAAGAUGGUGCCCAGAGCUCAAGACAGGCACACAGCAGGAGGAUGCCGGCAGGAUCCCUCAACAAGCUUACCGUGGUAUCUUUCACAAUGUUAACUGUCAUCCCAGAUGAACUUUUAAUGACAGUGUAUCUCUGAAGAUUGUGCUUUUAGCGUAUUUUCACUUAAAGUCAUAUCUCAUUUAGUAGACCUGCCAGAUUCCUGAAAAGUUACACACAAGCCAGCUGACAUGACCUUUGCCAGUCAUGUUGACCACGUUCUCACCGAGCUGUGGACUCCUCACUAGGAGCCUUUACCUACGGCCAGAUGGCUGUUGUCACUGCCUGUGGUGGGGUUACGGUUUCGGACUCACCUGAUCCGUUCUGCCGGGAUUACCUACGGCCAGAUGGCUGUUGUCACUGCCUGUGGUGGGGUUAUGGUUUCGGACUUACCUGAUCCGUUCUGCCGGGAUUACCUACGGCCAGAUGGCUGUUGUCACUGCCUGUGGUGGGGUUAUGGUUUCGGACGCACCUGAUCCGUUCUGCCGGGAUUUUAAAGUAUGGGAGUUUAGGCAUACUUUGCAAGUUGUUUCUUGAAUAUACUUUUCUGAAUUAUGGCUUGCUAUACAAGUUUUGGUCUUUUAAGGUAAGAGUUACAAUGGAGAUGGGGAAAUUAUACUUUUCUCAUUUCAAGGAAAGCAACAGUCAUGAGUUAUGCAUCAGUUGGGAAACGGGAUGAUAGGAAGUUGCAAGGCAACCUGGUUUCAGCCGGACCGGGACUCUCCCGGGGCUGCGUCCUGCUAGAGCUGGCAGGACACAGAAUACCACUAGCAGCCUCCCUGGGAGUGGCUUGGCGUCUUGGCCACCUCUUUCCACGGAUGUGGUGGAUGUGGGGGUAAACUAGAGAGACUAAAGCCCACUAUUGGGCUCAGCUUCCUGUAGAAAUCAAAUCAGAUGAAAACCCUGACCCAGAGGGAGAAGGCAGAGAGUUGGACUUUUGAAAACGUGAGUGUGUCCAGCAACCAGGCAGCAACAGUCCUUGUUUUUAUCGAACUUCUAUAAGCACUUUAUUUCUCCAGAAUAAUUUCAUCAUAAAGAAUCCAGAGCUCAGACAGCUCUUUACCAUCUGUCUUUUCCUUUUUUCUUACCCUGUGUUUGGCUUGAUCUGGACUGCACUUAACCAUGACAAUGUUAAGUGCUUUCUUCUGGGUAAAAAUUCUGGCUUCUUCUCCAGAAAUUCUGGCUCCACUUCUCAAAUUGUUUCUGUCCCUGUUAGGAGACCCCUGGGGCCUCGGCUGGAGAGACAGUGCAGCUAGUCCCAGCAGCCACUGUGCUUGGGCCUGGCCAGCCCCUCCUCAGGGGUCACGGCACUGCUCACCUGGUGACUAGGUCUUCUCAGCCAGAUCAGUUCAUGUGCUCUGGUGUUUUUGAGCUUCUGGCUAGUCCUCAGUUUCUCAGACCUGGUUAAUCACAGUGUGGAGUCAUUUUUCAUAACUGUGCACCUCACUUGUUUGAUGCAUGGCAAGGGAAUAAUUAAAUUAAUAAACCUACAGAUAUUCCCCCUUACAGUUUUCAAAUACAGUAAGUGAAUUUCUACUAUAAAAUAGGUCCAAAGAGGUUUUAUUGUUUCUUAUUUGAAAUAAUUAAAGAACAUUUAUGUUUCCCUUUUGUGGUUUCUUGGUUCUAAUCCUGUGGGUUGCUUUUGACGUCCUCUGUUGGGGAUACACUGUGCAUCCGUAUUUAACAGGAGAUCCCGAACUCCCAGCAGGGAGCUAAGCACAGAUGUGUGCACAGAUGCGUGCUUAGGUAAGGAUUUUGUGCAAGGUGACUUGUAAUAUGAAACUGUAAAACGUGCUACCUUAGACUGGAGAGAGAAGGGGGUGGUCUGAUGUUUUCCACACGCCUCUUUUACCAAAAUGGGUCAUCUUAUCUGUCUCAGGCCAGGCCCCCGGGGGUGCACAGGAACAGCACAGCUGCAGUGAAGGAGGGGCUCCUGCAGCCGGGCUGGCCCCAGAGCUGUGGGUCGUGCCCCGCGUGUUGCUCAGCGCGUUCUGCAGUUGCCCUGGCCUUAGUCCCCCAUCUCGCUGUGAUAGCCAUGCAGGUCAGCAACUGUGAGCCUUCCUGGCUCCCACGCUGCCCCCGGCACCUCUCUCUGUUUCUGCUCCCAGCAUCCUCUCAGCUUCUCUUCUGAGCCCCACGCAGCGGUUCCUGCUUUACCAGCACCACUUCUCCUCUGUCACCGAGAGAGAGCAAGAGGCUGCCGCGCCUGUGCCAACUGCCUGGUGAGGCUCCGUCGAGUGAUGUGCAGGGCCUUGCGGUACAGCCCUCUCGAAC
This 3579-nucleotide long non-coding RNA is filed under the name Homo sapiens (human). Its description in RNAcentral is "HSALNT0274595". The record is from RNAcentral. Lineage: Eukaryota; Metazoa; Chordata; Mammalia; Primates; Hominidae.